UGAGUACGAAAUGCUACGGCAUUGAAGCAGUCUAUGUCAUACUUCCUAGAAAAGCUUGCACUGUCAUAAACAAAUAAUGCCUGUACCAUAACCGACACAGGUGGGUAGGUAGAGUAUACUAAGGGGCGCGAGAUAACUCUCUCUAAGGAACUCGGCAAAAUGACUCCGUAACUUCGGGAGAAGGAGUGCCUUAUUUAUAAGGUUGCAAUAACAAGAUCCAAGCAACUGUUUAUCAAAAACACAGGUCUCCGCUAAGUCGUAAGACGAUGUAUGGGGGCUGACGCCUGCCCAGUGCCAGAAGGUUAAAGAAGUUGGUUAGCAUUCGCGAAGCUGAUAACUGAAGCCCUGGUGAACGGCGGCCGUAACUAUAACGGUCCUAAGGUAGCGAAAUUCCUUGUCGGGUAAGUUCCGACCCGCACGAAAGGCGUAAUGAUUUGGAUACUGUCUCGGAGAGGGGCUCGGUGAAAUAGACUUGUCUGUGAAGAUGCGGACUACCUGCACCUGGACAGAAAGACCCUAUGAAGCUUUACUGUAACUUGAAAUUGAAAUUGGACUUUAUUUGCGCAGUAUAGGUGGGAGGCAUUGAAGAUAUUCUUGCGGGAAUAUUGGAGCCAUCAGUGAGAUACCACUCUUGUAAUGUUAGAUUUCUAACUUUGUAUCAUUAUCUGGUCAAAGAACAGUUUCAGGCGGGCAGUUUGACUGGGGCGGUCGCCUCCCAAAUGGUAACGGAGGCGCACAAAGGUUUCCUCUGAACGGGUAGAAAUCGUAUCUAGAGUGUAAAGGCAUAAGGAAGCUUGACUGUGAGACCUACAAGUCGAGCAGGGACGAAAGUCGGUCUUAGUGAUCUGACGGUGCUGAGUGGAAAGGCCGUCACUCAACGGAUAAAAGUUACUCUAAGGAUAACAGGCUGAUCUCCCCCAAGAGUUCACAUCGACGGGGAGGUUUGGCACCUCGAUGUCGGCUCAUCGCAUCCUGGGGCGGUAGUACGUCCCAAGGGUUGGGCUGUUCGCCCAUGAAAGCGGUACGCGAGCUGGGUUCAGAACGUCGUGAGACAGUUCGGUCCAUAUCCGGUGUAGGCGUUAGAAUAUUGAGAGGAGCCUUCUUUAGUACGAGAGGACCGAGAAGGACAUACCUCUGGUGUACCAGUUAUUGUGCCAACGGUAAACGCUGGGUAGCUAUGUAUGGAGAGGAUAACCGCUGAAAGCAUCUAAGUGGGAAGCCCACCUCAAGAUAAGUAUUCC
RNAcentral lists this ribosomal RNA (1241 nucleotides) under metagenome. RNAcentral describes it as "bacterial LSU rRNA". It matches the Rfam family "Bacterial large subunit ribosomal RNA", at positions 1564 to 2814 of the family's 2925-position model. The record is from RNAcentral.